Molecule: RNA transcript, 1164 nt
Organism: Cucurbita pepo subsp. pepo (vegetable marrow)
Lineage: Eukaryota; Viridiplantae; Streptophyta; Magnoliopsida; Cucurbitales; Cucurbitaceae
Source: RefSeq, a predicted model, not a curated record
UUUGCAGGUUAGAAAUAUAUUAAUCAUAUUUACAGAAGUGCCCAGAAAAGUGUGGCUUUCAUCGUUCUUCUUCUUGAACGCACAACAAUAAAUGGAAUUGCAGAAAUUUUCUUCGAGAUCGGAGUUGGAGCAGAAUCGAGCAGUGGCUUAAAUUGAUCUGUGAACCAGGCGCAAGGUACUGCGGAUUUGAACCUUUGAAGGCCUAGUACAUCACGGCGAAAUUUCUGCUCUGAAAUGGCGUCCCUUCUCAGCCCAUCAACGCCGCCAUCCGCCAUUCAUCUGAGACGAAAGGCGAAUCUUCUCGAUUUCAGUUUUUUAUCUACAAAUCAUUCAUUAAAAGUUUAUGGGAAAAUUGGAAGGACUGAUGGCUAUCAUGGAAUUUGCCUUACAACAAGGGCCAAGGGGGGUAUUGAACAAGACGUUCUUGCGAAAGAUAAAGAGCCAAUUGAAAUUGACGUUGACAAUGAUUAUGGAGCGGUUGGCGUUCACCACGUUGGAGUGCUUUGUGAGAAUCUCGAGAGGUCACUUCACUUCUAUCUAAAUAUUCUAGGUCUUAAAAUAAACGAAGCAAGGCCACACGAUAAGCUUCCUUAUAGAGGUGCUUGGUUGUGGGUGGGUGCUGAGAUGAUUCAUUUAAUGGAGCUUCCAAAUCCUGAUCCUUUAUCUGGACGACCUGAACAUGGAGGCCGUGAUCGUCAUACUUGUAUUGGAAUUAGGGACGUAUCGAAGUUGAAAGUGAUCCUUGAUAAAGCUGGUAUUCCCUAUACGCUUAGCAAGUCAGGAAGGCCAGCAAUCUUUACAAGAGAUCCAGAUGCAAAUGCUUUAGAAUUUACUCAACUCGAUGGGUAAUUCUAUCAACACCAAUGAGCUUUCAUUGCUUAUGAAGAACCUCAGGAUCUUCAGAUCACUGAAAAGCUUACAGGACGUGGAUGGUAGAGACCCAAUCGUCAGACGGGCAGUGGAAAGGUAUUUGUAGAUUGUGUUGAUAUAGAUUCGAUGUAUUAUUUACCUAAUGUUGUCAUAGAAUUAACAAAGAAUUUGAGGAGUUUUGUAUGGUCAAUAUUGUGAUUGUCCUAUUGAAUAAUGUCCUUUGCAGACAGGGAGUUUUGUAUGACGUAUUGUAAUUGUCCCAUUGAAUAAUCACUUAUAGUUAUCUUGUUAAAC